GGCGCGAAACCUCUGCAAUGCGCGAAAGCGUGACAGGGGAAGUCUGAGUGGCGGAAACUUAGUUUCCGUCUUUUGCCAAGUGUACAUAGCUUGGAGAAUAAGGGUGUGGGCAAGACUGGUGGCAGCCGCCGCGGUAACACCAGCGCCUCGAGUGGUACCCACGAAUAUUGGGCCUAAAGCGUCCGUAGCCGGACUGCUAAGUCCGCUGUGAAAUGUUGGAGCUCAACUCUAACGCGUGCAGUGGAUACUGUCAGUCUUGGGAAUGGGGGAGGGUCGGGGUACUUCCAGGGUAGGGGUAAAAUCCGUUGAGCCUGGAAGGACCACCAGUGGCGAAGGCGCCGAUCCAAAACAUGUCCGACGGUGAGGGACGAAAGCUGGGGGAGCGAACGGGAUUAGAAACCCCUGUAGUCC
Molecule: ribosomal RNA, 411 nt
Filed under: uncultured bacterium
Lineage: Bacteria
Description: bacterial SSU rRNA
Rfam family: Archaeal small subunit ribosomal RNA
Source: RNAcentral